This is a non-coding RNA of Misgurnus anguillicaudatus (oriental weatherfish), 1770 nucleotides long. The record is from RefSeq and is a predicted model, not a curated record. Lineage: Eukaryota; Metazoa; Chordata; Actinopteri; Cypriniformes; Cobitidae.
AUUAUAGCGUAUCUUCUUUCCCGAUGACACGACGUAGCUUGCAUUGCAUCUUGGACACAGUAGUCAAUAAACUUCUACAAUGUUAGAGACGCUUUGUGAAAAGGACUACAUUUCCCAUAAUGCCCCGCCCAACGCUCGCUGGAGAAACCGGAAGCGCGAAUUUGAAACGCUGAACCAACGACGCGGGACCUUUUGUUUGUAUUGUGAAGAGCUGUAUAAUAAAGCAAGAAAUCAUGUACACAUUAUCAGCUUUAGAAGUGGAUGUCAUUCCUGCAGUCUUUGUGAAGAAUGAUGCGAGUUAAAUUUAUUUCAUUUGAACAACCUAACAGGUUAAACGGUAAACAAAUCUGUGUAUUUGAUAUGACUUUGAUAGAUAUUGUUACAACUUGGAAAACAACAGACCAAACCAGUCAGAGACAGCGAUGUGAGGACAUCAACAGAAAAUAAAAUGCUGUAAGAAGUCCUUUAUGUGCACAGAGAUGGAGGUUGAAAAGUUACUAAAACACGCUCAUAUUAGGCACGGUUCCUUGAAUCGUGCCUGAGCUCGCUUUCAUCAUUAGGAUGCGAUUGUUUGCAGAACACAAGAAGUAAAGCACUGUCAAUGUGAGUCAAACAACUGCUCGACUGAGGAGUUGAAGAGAGAAGGGCAGCUGCACAUUUCUAAAAUUGUGAAAGCACUCUGUCGGCUACACAACUCGGAGGCAAAUUGUAGGCACUAUCACCAGGAGCAGAGAUUAAGCUCACCACAUAAUGGGAAGGACACCUCAUUUUUAGUGGGAGCACUGGCUACAAGCCUGGAGUUGCACAAUGAAGGCCUUGAUAAAAAUUAAUUUGUGGCCUGCAAGACAUGACCAGAGCUAGCCAGUGUGGCCACAUCACGGAGUGACCAGAGGAGGAAGAGGUUGUGUUUCUGCUCUUGGAGUCAAACCCAGUGUACUAGCUGUGGACAAAGUGGGCUUCUGAAGGGGAAUCACCACUGACAUGAUUUCAGAUGAAGAAUACUAUGCUGUUGAUGGAGUGUCGGGUGGAUUGUGAGACCUUCAUCGUUCUGCAGUCAGGCGCUCCGCAAUCUGUGUGCUAAGCUGCAGCUGCAACUGUGUGUGUUCAAACUAUGCAGCGUUGCAUCACAGUCUGCAAUCUGAAUUGCUGUCUAACAGAAUGCCACCGCUUACCUAUGACCCCAAGGCAGCAAAAUGAACACAUUUGAUGCCAAAUGUGAUCCCAACAACAUAAUCGUUGGCUUUUUUUGACUUUGUGUGUAUUUAUUUUUCCUAUGCUUUAUUAAUAAAACUCUUAAAUUUUAUCAACAUGUCUCUCCCAAAUGUCUGUUUUCUUUCCCUAAUAUUUUUUUAUUAAUGCCCUUAGCCCAUGGUAUACGUUACAUAGUCUUUAUAAUAUUAGCCUUCAUGACACAUACAUUUUUUGUUAUAUCUCAUAUAAUAUAUCUAAUAUAAACCGUAAUUUUAUUAAAUAAUAAAAGGGAGGGGUUUAUUCAAAAUAGUAUUAUAAUUGCCCAGACUGGCCAAUCGCAACAAAUAUAUCAGCCAAUGACAGAUGCUAUUUCUGUUUUAAAAGUUGUUGCUACCGAAACUGCUCAUUUUUAAUACGUACAUUUAAACUUGUGUGCAAAUAGUAUAAAAUAGUGAGUUUAUUCAAUAUAAAAUACAUUAGGUCCCCUGUUAAAUAGUGAAGUGUGACAUCUGUUUAAUUGCAACUACAUUUCUUUCCAUGAGAAGAUUUCAGGGGUUUAAACUUAAACUAUUGUUUAUU